UCCUACGGGUGGCUGCAGUGGGGAAUAUUGGACAAUGGGCGCAAGCCUGAUCCAGCCAUGCCGCGUGGAUGAUGAAGGCCCUAGGGUUGUAAAGUCCUUUCGGCGGGGAAGAUAAUGACGGUACCCGCAGAAGAAGCCCCGGCUAACUUCGUGCCAGCAGCCGCGGUAAUACGAAGGGGGCUAGCGUUGCUCGGAAUCACUGGGCGUAAAGCGCACGUAGGCGGCUUGUUAAGUCAGGGGUGAAAUCCUGGAGCUCCACUCCAGAACUGCCUUUGAUACUGGCGAGCUUGAGUUCGGGAGAGGUGAGUGGAACUGCGAGUGUAGAGGUGAAAUUCGUAGAUAUUCGCAAGAACACCAGUGGCGAAGGCGGCUCACUGGCCCGAUACUGACGCUGAGGUGCGAAAGCGUGGGGAGCAAACAGGAUUAGAUACCCUAGUAGUC
RNAcentral lists this ribosomal RNA (441 nucleotides) under uncultured Rhodoplanes sp. RNAcentral's name for it is "bacterial SSU rRNA". It matches the Rfam family "Bacterial small subunit ribosomal RNA", at positions 337 to 795 of the family's 1533-position model. The record is from RNAcentral. Lineage: Bacteria; Pseudomonadati; Pseudomonadota; Alphaproteobacteria; Hyphomicrobiales; Nitrobacteraceae.